UUGAACGCUGGCGGCAUGCCUUACACAUGCAAGUCGAACGGUAACGGGUUAAGCCGACGAGUGGCGAACGGGUGAGUAAUAUAUCGGAACGUGCCCAAUCGUGGGGGAUAACGCAGCGAAAGUUGUGCUAAUACCGCAUAAGAUCUACGGAUGAAAGCGGGGGAUCGCAAGACCUCGCGCGAGUGGAGCGGCCGAUAUCAGAUUAGCUAGUUGGUGGGGUAAAGGCCCACCAAGGCGACGAUCUGUAGCUGGUCUGAGAGGACGACCAGCCACACUGGGACUGAGACACGGCCCAGACUCCUACGGGAGGCAGCAGUGGGGAAUUUUGGACAAUGGGCGCAAGCCUGAUCCAGCAAUGCCGCGUGCAGGAUGAAGGCCUUCGGGUUGUAAAGCUCUUUCGGUGGGAACGAAACGGUACGCGCGAAUAACGUGUGCUAAUGACGGUACCCAAAGAAGAAGCACCGGCUAACUACGU
RNAcentral lists this ribosomal RNA (475 nucleotides) under uncultured bacterium. RNAcentral describes it as "bacterial SSU rRNA". It matches the Rfam family "Bacterial small subunit ribosomal RNA", at positions 29 to 506 of the family's 1533-position model. The record is from RNAcentral.